Molecule: long non-coding RNA, 1961 nt
Organism: Strongylocentrotus purpuratus (purple sea urchin)
Lineage: Eukaryota; Metazoa; Echinodermata; Echinoidea; Camarodonta; Strongylocentrotidae
Exons: 3
Source: RefSeq, a predicted model, not a curated record
AAAAAAUUAACGACUGAUAGAAUCUACUUAGUUAGACUAGACCUAUGUCUAGACUAUGAUAGAAUUUUAAAUUACUGGAAGUCCACCUGAGUCCGCGUUGCCCUAACCCUAACGCUAGGACAGAAAUACUGGACGAAAUAGCUUUAACAUUAAUGGAUACAACAUUAAAUAUUACAUAACACAUUGUGUUAUUCUUCAAGUUCAACAUCCAAAAAAAUCAAAUAAAUUAUUAUCAAGUUCUUUUCUCAUGUUUUAGUAGGGGGUAUAAAUAUGGAACUCUUGUCUGGGUCAGAAUUCGACCAUCAUGUCAUGAAUUGACCGCGCUUGUUGCGUGUGUACAUGUAUGUGUCUAUGAGCGCCGCUCAGCGGCUAUGUACAGCGCUCAUGCAUUGGCUGUUCUGGGCAAAAAUCCGGCCCGCACUGUUCGGAUGCCAUAUGGUUUGGGAACUGGGAGUUUGCCGCAUAGCGGCAAGAGAGAAGGGGGAAAUAAUUUUGUAACCCUUGAGAGCGGCAACCGGCCCGGCCUGGCCGAGCGGCCCUCAUUAAAAAAUUGGCUCUGAAAAAGGGGGUCUUUGUAGCGGCACAUACCCGUGUCACCAAUAUAUGCGAGUACAUUGGGAUUUAUCAAUCGAAUCAUGUAUUUUGGAGGUGGAAAACUUUCAAUUGACGUCAAAGAAUUUGAAAUUAGGUAUUACAUAAAGGUAAUAAUUGAGUUCAAACCCAUAUAAAUUAUCAUUUGUUCAUUUUGGGGGAUUUUGUAUCAUAUAGUAAUGGGUGACAUUCAUGGAUUUUGAAUGCCAAUAUGCCAGGCGCGGUAAAAAAAAAAAUUGUUGCCAAUUUGAAUGAAAUGUAAAAAUCCAUGUCAAAAUUAUUAAUUGUCACUGUGUGUCAAAAUAGAAUAGUCAAAGUGGAUGAUUGAUAUGAUCAGUCUUGCUUCGAUAUUUAAUAUAAUAUCUUGUGCAUCUUUCUGGUCUUAGCGGUAAUUUUGACAUUGGAAUCAUUGCAAGGUCAAACUUUUUUGUUUUGCAUUGUUGUGGGUCAACCUAGAUACACGCACCCGCUAUUGCUUGCACCUACAUGUACAAAGCAUGAAGCUUAAUUCCUAUUCACUGUCGAAGCCUAUGUAACGACCCCGGUCCCGGCUUGUACAUUUCGAUAGCAACCGCUCAAACAAAUGCUUAACGCAGGGCAAUCAAGUGCUGUUGGAUUAUAUGCGAAUGUGUACUGUGCGCGUGCGUGGCCACGCACUGCGCAUUCCAACUUCGACAGCGAAUAUAGAACCAUAUGUCAAAAAAUGCUGAUUACAACGAUUUACCCUAGACCUCUAUAACAAAACAAAUUUCUGUUUAUUUGUGUUGUUGGCAUAGGGUUCUGCGUUGAACUGCUCGCGAAACACCCAACGAUGAACAUGCAGUAUCUGCAGAAACUUUGCAUGCUUUUUGGGUUGUCAAAAUAAUUUUCCUGAUUUUUUCAUUGGAUUGUAGACCAUGCAAGACUGGAUCUAUGACAAUUCCAUUGAGAAACAAAAAUAAGACAGGGAAAUUAAGUUCUAGAGGAAGCUUUGUAGGUGCACCGCUAUCGCAAGAGAUAGCGGGUGCGUGUAUCUACAUUGUAGGGUCAAACAGUCUUUUUUAACACAAUUUUUCUGACACAAUAUGAAAAAUAUGUACAUGUUUUUAUUUUCCUGCAGCAACUACUUGCCCAAGAAGACGAGCGAUGUGAGGAGUCGCGGUUGCAGGGCUAGGGCUUUUUUUUUCAAGCAUCAAGAUCAAGGAAAGAGUCACUGACAUGCUGACCAGAAGAAGACAUUGUGGUGUUGGAAAACCCAACCCCCUUGAGGUAGCAGCACAAUACACAGAGAAAGAAAAGGACCCUCCUCACUUCAUUGUCAAGCUGUUUGAGAACAAAGGAAGAGGGAUAGUGGCACAAAGAGACAUCUCAAAAGGGGAGUUUUUUGUUGG